UUGUCUGAACCGCAUGGUUCAGACAUAAAAGGUGGCUUCGGCUACCACUUACAGAUGGACCCGCGGCGCAUUAGCUAGUUGGUGAGGUAACGGCUCACCAAGGCGACGAUGCGUAGCCGACCUGAGAGGGUGAUCGGCCACACUGGGACUGAGACACGGCCCAGACUCCUACGGGAGGCAGCAGUAGGGAAUCUUCCGCAAUGGACGAAAGUCUGACGGAGCAACGCCGCGUGAGUGAUGAAGGUUUUCGGAUCGUAAAGCUCUGUUGUUAGGGAAGAACAAGUGCCGUUCAAAUAGGGCGGCACCUUGACGGUACCUAACCAGAAAGCCACGGCUAACUACGUGCCAGCAGCCGCGGUAAUACGUAGGUGGCAAGCGUUGUCCGGAAUUAUUGGGCGUAAAGGGCUCGCAGGCGGUUUCUUAAGUCUGAUGUGAAAGCCCCCGGCUCAACCGGGGAGGGUCAUUGGAAACUGGGGAACUUGAGUGCAGAAGAGGAGAGUGGAAAUUCCACGUGUAGCGGUGAAAUGCGUAGAGAUGUGGAGGAACACCAGUGGCGAAGGCGACUCUCUGGUCUGUAACUGACGCU
This 586-nucleotide ribosomal RNA is filed under the name Bacillus velezensis. RNAcentral's name for it is "bacterial SSU rRNA". It matches the Rfam family "Bacterial small subunit ribosomal RNA", at positions 173 to 747 of the family's 1533-position model. Lineage: Bacteria; Bacillati; Bacillota; Bacilli; Caryophanales; Bacillaceae. The record is from RNAcentral.